CCAACAGGGAUUGCCCUAGUAACGGCGAGUGAAGCGGCAACAGCUCAAAUUUGAAAUCUGGCCUCGGCCCGAGUUGUAAUUUGCAGAGGAUGCUUCUGGCGCGGUGCCUUCCGAGUUCCCUGGAACGGGACGCCACAGAGGGUGAGAGCCCCGUAUGGUCGGACACCAAGCCUGUGUGAAGCUCCUUCGACGAGUCGAGUAGUUUGGGAAUGCUGCUCUAAAUGGGAGGUAAAUCUCUUCUAAAGCUAAAUACCGGCCAGAGACCGAUAGCGCACAAGUAGAGUGAUCGAAAGAUGAAAAGCACCUUGAAAAGGGGGUUAAAUAGUACGUGAAAUUGUUGAAAGGGAAGCACUUAUGACCAGACUUGGGCCGGGCGGCUCAUCAGGGGUUCUCCCCUGUGCACUCCGCCCGGCACAGGCCAGCAUCGGUUCUCGUGGGGGGAUAAGACCGUCAGGAACGUAGCACCCUCCGGGGUGUGUUAUAGCCUGGCGGACGAUACCCCCGUGGGGACCGAGGUCCGCGCUCCGCAAGGAUGCUGGCGUAAUGGUCAUCAGUGACCCGU
RNAcentral lists this ribosomal RNA (562 nucleotides) under Diaporthe sp. RNAcentral describes it as "partial 28S ribosomal RNA". It matches the Rfam family "Eukaryotic large subunit ribosomal RNA", at positions 65 to 652 of the family's 3401-position model. The record is from RNAcentral. Lineage: Eukaryota; Fungi; Ascomycota; Sordariomycetes; Diaporthales; Diaporthaceae.